Molecule: transfer RNA, 73 nt
Filed under: Camelus bactrianus (Bactrian camel)
Lineage: Eukaryota; Metazoa; Chordata; Mammalia; Artiodactyla; Camelidae
Also listed under: 2 other names
Rfam family: tRNA
About the family: Transfer RNA (tRNA) molecules are approximately 80 nucleotides in length. Their secondary structure includes four short double-helical elements and three loops (D, anti-codon, and T loops).
Source: Rfam by way of RNAcentral
GAGGGUAUAGUUCAACUGGUAGAGCACAUGCUCAACAUGCACAAGGUCCUGGGUUCAAUCCCCAGUACCUUCU